Molecule: ribosomal RNA, 379 nt
Filed under: uncultured bacterium
Lineage: Bacteria
Description: partial 16S ribosomal RNA
Rfam family: Bacterial small subunit ribosomal RNA
Source: RNAcentral
CCUACGGGUGGCUGCAGUGGGGAAUAUUGCACAAUGGGGGAAACCCUGAUGCAGCGAUGCCGCGUGAGUGAAGAAGUAUUUCGGUACGUAAAGUACUAUCAGCAGGGAAGAAAAUGAUGGUAUCUGACCAAGAAGCCCCGGCCAACUACGUGCCAGCAGCCGCGGUAAUACGUAGGGGGCAAGCGUUAUCCGGAUUUACUGGGUGUAAGGGGAACGUAGACGGCAGCGCAAGUCUGGAGUGAAAUGCCGGGGCCCAACCCCGGAACUGCUUUGGAGACUGUGCAGCUGGAGUGCAGGAGAGGUAGGUGGAAUUCCUGGUGUAGCGGUGAAAUGCGUAGAGAUUAGGAGGAACACCAGUGGCGAAGGCGGCUUACUGGAC